This 483-nucleotide ribosomal RNA is filed under the name uncultured bacterium. RNAcentral's name for it is "bacterial SSU rRNA". It matches the Rfam family "Bacterial small subunit ribosomal RNA", at positions 32 to 521 of the family's 1533-position model. The record is from RNAcentral.
AAUCAACGCUGGCGGCGUGCCUCAGACAUGCAAGUCGAACGAUUAAAGCUCCCUUCGGGGAGUGUAUAGAGUGGCGCACGGGUGCGUAACACGUGGGUAAUCAACCCUUCAGCUCGGGACAACACCUCGAAAGGGGUGCUAAUACCGGAUACGACGUAUGGCUUUGCGGAGUCGUACGGGAAAGAUUCGCAAGGAUCACUGGAGGACGAGCUCGCGGCCCAUCAGCUGUUGGUGAGGUAAUGGCUCACCAAGGCUUAGACGGGUAACUGGUCUGAGAGGAUGAUCAGUCACACUGGAACUGAGACACGGUCCAGACUCCUACGGGAGGCAGCAGUGGGGAAUCUUGCGCAAUGGGCGGAAGCCUGACGCAGCCACGCCGCGUGAGCGAUGAAGGCCUUAGGGUUGUAAAGCUCUUUCGGCGGGGACGAUGGUGACGGUACCCGCAGAAGAAGCACCGGCUAACUCUGUGCCAGCCGCCGCCGU